GAUCAUCCCUAGUGACUGUUACGCCAACCACAGGAACAGGACCACCUGAGACAAAGAGAGUGGAGGAGUGAGUGGAAAAGGCAUAAAUGCAGGAUGAAGAAGAGAAGAAGAUUAUACAUACAGUAUAAAAGCUUUUUGUUUCUCGCAGGGAUUCGGGCACGACAUCCUCAGGAGUCCACAGAUCCUGAUGGGGACAGAGAGUGAGACUGAGGCCUUUUUUGGCUAGUUUCAGAAGGGAACAAAAGUGUCAUAGUUACUCCACCAGUCAAUGCAUCAUACCUGCAUGGGACCUGUUUCCUGAGCCCCUGUGUCGCCCUCUAGAGUCUGAGUGUAGAGCUCCAGAUUACUAAGGGAGUCUGAAUCUGUGGGGUAGAAGAGCAGCAAGGAGCGCAGGGUCUCCACCGCCCCCUUCAGGUCACCAGCUGCAGUACACCAAAGAGAGGUGCUCGAGCUGUAAGGGCAGGAAGUCCUCCAGAGCAGAAACCCUUCCAGGUCGCGUUGACACUAAGGUCACACACAUCUGUUUGCAUGACAGCAAGGAGAGAGAGAGGUCUGAAGAAACAGAGA
Long non-coding RNA from Onychostoma macrolepis, 567 nucleotides. RefSeq lists it as uncharacterized. The record is from RefSeq and is a predicted model, not a curated record. The transcript has 4 exons. Lineage: Eukaryota; Metazoa; Chordata; Actinopteri; Cypriniformes; Cyprinidae.